Long non-coding RNA from Scatophagus argus, 976 nucleotides. RefSeq lists it as uncharacterized. The record is from RefSeq and is a predicted model, not a curated record. The transcript is spliced from 4 exons. NCBI's taxonomy places the organism in Eukaryota, Metazoa, Chordata, Actinopteri, Scatophagidae.
GCAGGCUCGGUGGAAAAUACCAGAAACACACAUUAGUGUGCUGCGGCUGAUAAGAGAAAAUGGGAACAACAAUUUGUAAUGAGCGCCGAUAAAAAACACCUUCUGUAAUUUCAGCUUUUCUUGUCAGCUUGUCAGCAAUGGAAAAAGGCCCAGUCAACCCCAAAAUGAAGCUUGUGCCUGUGUUUCCUGGACAUUAGCAGGCCUCCACCCCAUGCACCCUGCACAGGAGACAAUGCAUUUCCAACAGGAAGAUGUCUGCAAUUUCAUUGAUGGGAUCAAAGGCUCCGUAAACGGUUGUACCAGCGGUGGCAUUCACAAACAUCGGAACAUAGCCCUGCAAAACGAAAACGUUGGGUGGAAAUAAAGGCAUUUGCUACAGUUCAGGACUGAAUUCAGGGUGUUAUGUUCAUUCUCUCGCUGCGAUUGUUGACACAAAAAGAUACAUCUUUCUCAAAUAAUGCACCCUUCUUCCCUCAUGCAAUGACUGCUUUCCAAUUUCUUCCAGUCUGCACAUCACUUUUGCCUUUGAGGGACUGUUUCCAGGAGAAGUGCUUUUGAUUGGAGCAGCGUCACUUGUGAUCAGAAAGAAGCAUGAACCUCCCCGAAAUAACCUCACUGCUCUGGCACACACAAGUACACACUAUGGCUCAGACUGUGUGGUGUCAAUAAUAAAAGCAAAUAACAGGGAUGACUCUCCCUCUGGAAAAGAAGAGGAAGAAGACAGUAGAAAGUCAUCCAGAUAUCUGAUCUUUUGCCAGACAGUCUGCAUGCGGGUCCAGCACAAAGCAAACCUCUCAUCAGUGUUCAAAAGUAUCAGGUUGUCCGUCCCAAAGCCCAGAGCUGCACUGGCUUUCUUGAUGGAGUAGUGGCUCUGCAAGAACAGAUGUUACAGUAAGAGUGGAUUUACUCUCAAGAUACUGACAUUAAUUGUGAAACCUUGGUGACAAAGAUGCUUAAAUGGUCUGACUAUAUGAAA